CGGAUCGGGUCGGCGCCGAAGGUCAGCGACGGCGCCGGGGACCGGGGGCCGGUGCGCUAGAGAUGGAGAGAGGGUAAGGAGAGAGGAGAGAGAGAGAGAGAGAAAAUGAACAAAUUCCAAAGAGAAAAGAUAAGCAUGCUUAUAAUCUAAUUUGUAAUAGUAAAUUGUUGGUUAGAGAAACUUACAAGAAAUAGUUAAUUCCUCAAAUUAUUUAUGGUCACAACCUAACAAGAGGUGUAAACUAAACUAUUUAUGCUUACAAUGCAAUACUGAAGGAUUACAUGUCGCAAUAUCAAGUCCACAAAGAAAGACCAACUAUCUUUAUAUGCGCGAAAAUCCUUUUAAUGUGAAAUCUGGCUACCAAGUUCAAAACAACCCCCUGCAUGCUAUUUGAAUCCUUAGGAACAUAUAUAGAAGUCAAAGGAUCAACCCAAAAGGGUGGCCAAGUUGGUUGAGCAGGGAGCUCUAUAAUGGGGAGUCUCAAGUUGGAAACCCUUUCAUUCUUUCUUGGUUGAGCUCAUCGCACGGGGCUUGCUCAGUGCAGUUUACCUCUCUUAUGUGGUUUGCAGACUAUUAUUCUGAAAUGGGUUUACCCUGUAUGCACUCGAAGGGUAGCAGUAGCAGGUUCCCUUGUCAUCAAAAAGAAAAAAUAGAAUUCAAAACAUCCGGCCAAGGUUGUGUUUUCUUUGGUUGGUCUUUAGAGAAGCAUGUCUCACUCAGGAUAAUCUGCAUAGGAGGGGCUACCAGUUAUGUAACAAUGUUAAAUGUGUAAUAACAACACAUAGUCAAUCAAUCAUCUAUUCUUGCAUUGUACCAUAGUAGCACAGCCAUGGCAGAUGUUCUACAGUAUUUUUGGCAUCAACUGGGUAAUGCUAAUAUCAACCUCAGACUUGUUAAAAUGAUGAAACAAAAAAGGUGCAAAAAGGUUUUGUGAAACUAUAUGGAAUACAAUUCCAGCAUGCAUUUGGCGGUGUCUAUGGAAGUAAAGGAACUUGGUUGUAUAUUUUAUGAUCUAGUUCGAUCAAGAUGGAUUUUUUAAAUGACAUGGAAACUUUAUUACAAUGCAUAGAUAGCUUGCAAUUUCCAUUUUUUCUUGUUUUUGGAACUUUUGGUAUACUCCAGACACUAUCUUCUUGCUAUAUCAACAAUAGUUAGCCUUUUCAAGGAAAAAAUAAUCUAUAAUAACUUGUUAAAAUGUCGAAACACACAAUGUAGAUAAACACUUGAUAUCGGUGAACAUAAACUAGAGACUAGAACGAUACAAGCAUCUAAAAUCACAAAGCCCAUUGAUAAUUUCCACAACAAGACCUGCAUAAAGGAAAAACAAAAUCAAACAAGAAAUGAGAACAAGAUGAAUUUGCAAUGCCACGACUAGAUAUACACAUCAAAUAAUAAACUGGAAAUACACAACUGUGUACCUCAUUAUGCAAAGUCUGUUGAGAGAACCUAUUGUAGAACAAGUGUCUGUAGGCUUUAAUUAUAUGCAAAAUCAAGUCAAUAACCAAAAUCUACAUUCCAAACGAAUAAUUAGGAACAUAACCAAGAAUGCUAUAUAUAGGAACCUCAAUGUAUAUGUUACUUCGCUUGAACCUGUUUUACUCCAAUAUUAUAAGAACUCACUGGAAGUCCUCUACAUUUGCUAUGUGCUUAUGAACCUCUAAUGAGACUAAACAAUUUCUAAUAAAAAUAUUUGGCAUAAAAUAACAUACUAACAUGAAUAGAACUUAAUCCCAGCUAGUAAUUGGUAUAAUCUCAAAGCUAAAAACUUGGGCCAUUUCUCAGUUUGUGGACCCCCUAAUACAAGGCCUAAUGGCUUAUGCUAAUCUUAUUGUGUCGCUCAAGAGAAACCAAGUGAUACAAAAUCUCAAAAGAAGAAUAGGAAUAAAGCUAAUUUAUCAGUUGGUCAAAACUGCAUCGCCAUACUUGGUAGGGCUCAAUAUAAAAGACAAUUAGACCUCAGGCAGUAGAGAUGGCGAUGUAAGACACUCCAAUGGAUGAAUUUGAUACCACAUUGACCACUAAUCACCAGGCAAAAAACAACUACAACUACCUAACAAGGGGCUAAUCCAAAUAAAUUUCUGAAAUAGACACAUCAAUUAAAUCAAAACCAAAAAUGCAAAAUAUUAGGUCAACAAUCAAAGUAAAGCAGUGGAGAGCUGAAAUUAUGUCAAAAUUACCUUAAUAUCACCAAACUAAAGAACAAACCCUAAAUUUUCUUAGAAAUUGAAGUGCAAAUUUGAGAGUUGAAAUCAAAGUGGUUGUCAGAGCAAUGGAGAAGCUGAUUUGUGGUCGGAGCAUGCACUAGUGGUCGAUUUCACGCACUGGUGGUUGAUUUUGUGGUCGGAGCACUUAGUUGAUUGUGGUCGGAGCGUAGUACUGGUGGCGAUUGUGGUAAGACCGUAGUACUAAUGGCGAUCGUGGUAAGACCAUAGUACCGGUGGCGCAAUUGUUGGAAGACCGUAGUAGCGGCGGCGCUAUUGUGGCCCAAUUAAUUAUCAUUAAUUAUCAGAAUUAAUGAUAAUUAAUAUUUUUUUUAUUAGUUUAAUAAUUCUAAGUCAACUAAAAUUGACUUUCAAAAGAUUUGAAAAUUUUAAAAAUAAAUAUAAAAAUGUUAGAAUAAGAAAAAAUUAACAAGUAUCAAACUUUUAAAAAUUUUAAU
This 2659-nucleotide long non-coding RNA is filed under the name Capsicum annuum. RNAcentral describes it as "long non-coding RNA (CANN_LNC003192)". Lineage: Eukaryota; Viridiplantae; Streptophyta; Magnoliopsida; Solanales; Solanaceae. The record is from RNAcentral.